CGAUUUUAUCGAGCUCGUCAACGCCCAUGAAGACGAGUCUGGAUAAUGCAUCGGCUUUGGCAUUUUCUGCUCUGGCUACCUUCAGAAUUUCAGAACUUACGAACUGCCUCUGGAGGUCAUGUACUUUCAAACAAUAUAAGCUCAUUUUUUCAUCCUUUCUUUCGAAAGACCCCACGAUUUGCCCGACCACUAGUUGCGAGUCACUGAGAACUUUGAUGUGCUCGCACUCAAGAUUUUUCGCGAGUUCUAGGGCAAUAACAACAGCUUCGUACUCUGCCUCGUUAUUGGUAGCCUGGAAUUCAAAUCUGAGAGCGCAUUGUAUCUCUGUAAUCUUGUCCGGACUGGUGAUAAUAAUGUCGGCCCCCGAGCUCGAGCUAUUGGAUGCUCCAUCAACAAAAAUUUUCCAUAUUCCUGAGGUCGAGUUCGGGCUCCCGGUAGGUGUUUCUGAGGAUCUCGGGGUGAGCUCUAAUAUGAAGUCGGCCAAAGCUUGGGCCUUGAUUGCAGGCCGUGGCUUGAAUUCUAUGUCAAAUUCGACGAGUUCAAUUGCCCAUUUCAGCAGUCUUCCUGAGAUGUCCGGCUUCUGAAGUAUAUGUCUGAGAGGUUGGUUGGUGAGCACAACAAUUGGAUGUGACUAGAAGUAUGGCCGUAAUUUUCUAGCAGCUACUACUAAAGCAAGGGCGAGUUGUUCUGCAAGUGUAUAUCGUGUUUCUGCAUCAAGGAGCACUUUACUUACAUAGUAGAUAGGUUGCUGAACUCUUCCUUUUUCCUUUACCAAGACACCGCUUACUGCGUUCUGAGAAACUGCCAAGUAUAAUAGCAGCGUGUCACCGGGUUCGGGUUUAGUAAGGACUGGAGGUGUUGACAAUGUCUGUU
This 873-nucleotide long non-coding RNA is filed under the name Olea europaea subsp. europaea. Lineage: Eukaryota; Viridiplantae; Streptophyta; Magnoliopsida; Lamiales; Oleaceae. The record is from RNAcentral.